This 789-nucleotide ribosomal RNA is filed under the name uncultured archaeon. RNAcentral describes it as "bacterial SSU rRNA". It matches the Rfam family "Archaeal small subunit ribosomal RNA", at positions 90 to 859 of the family's 1478-position model. The record is from RNAcentral.
UCAGUAACACGUAGUUAAUCUGCCCUUAGGACGGACAUAACCCUGGGAAACUGGGGCUAAUAUUCGAUAGAUGGGAGUACCUGGAAUGGUCUUCCGUCCAAAGGUUCUUGAGAACAUGCUUUCAGGGACGCCCAAGGAUGAGACUGCGUCCGAUCAGGCUGUUGGUGGGGUAACGGCCCACCAAACCUAUAAUCGGUACGGGCCCUGAGAGGGGGAGCCCGGAGAUGGGAACUGAGACAAGGUCCCAGGCCCUACGGGGCGCAGCAGGCGCGAAAACUUCACAAUGCGCGAAAGCGUGAUGGGGUUACCCCGAGUGCCGACCGAUGAGGAUGGCUUUUCUCCAGUGUAAGAAGCUGAAGGAAUAAAGGGGGGGUAAGACUGGUGUCAGCCGCCGCGGUAAUACCAGCCCCCUGAGUGAUAGGGACGAUUAUUUAGCCUAAAGCGUCCGUAGCCGGCUUAAGAAAGUCUUUCGUUAAAUCUAACGGCUCAACCGUUAGGCCGCGGAAGAUACUUCUAGACUAGGAGGGCGGGAGAGGUUGACGGUAUUCCCCGGGGUAGGGGUGAAAUCCUAUAAUCCCGGGGGGACCACCAGUGGCGAAGGCGGUCAACUAGAACGCGCCUGACGGUGAGGGACGAAAGCUGGGGAGCGAACCGGAUUAGACACCCGGGUAGUCCCAGCCGUAAACGAUGCGGGCUGGGUGUUGGGGCAGCUACGAGCUGCUCCAGUGCCGCAGAGAAGUUGUUAAGCCCGCCGCUUGAGAAAGUACGGGCCGCAAGGCUGAAACUUAA